AGGAUCAUUCACAAACGAGUGUUUUAUGGCACCUCUUUAAAAAUCCAUAUCCACCUUGUGUGCAAUGUCAGUCGAUCUUCUUCUUGGAGAUCGACCAAACAUCAACCUUUAUCUUUUAACUCUUUGUCUGAAAAAUAUUAUGAAUAAACAAUUCAAAAUACAACUUUCAACAACGGAUCUCUUGGCUCUCGCAUCGAUGAAGAACGCAGCGAAAUGCGAUACGUAAUGUGAAUUGCAGAAUUCAGUGAAUCAUCGAAUCUUUGAACGCAUAUUGCGCUCUUUGGUAUUCCGAAGAGCAUGCUUGUUUGAGUAUCAGUAAACACCUCAACCUCCUCUUGUUUUUUUCAAAAGGAGGGUGGACUUGAGCUAUCCCAACAACCUUCACCGGUAGGCGGGCGGCUUGAAAUGCAGGUGCAGCUGGACUUUUAUCUGAGCUAAAAGCAUAUCUAUUUAGUCCUCGUCAAACAGGAUUAUUACUAUUGCUGCAGCUAACAUAAAGGAUAAUUGUCCUCAUUGCUGACUGAUGCAGGAUUUUACGACACUUUAUGUGUUGUUCAACUCGAUCUCAAAUCAAGUAAGACUACCCGCUGAACUUAA
RNAcentral lists this ribosomal RNA (597 nucleotides) under uncultured fungus. RNAcentral's name for it is "eukaryotic LSU rRNA". The stretch from base 162 to 315 matches the Rfam family "5.8S ribosomal RNA". Lineage: Eukaryota; Fungi. The record is from RNAcentral.